CCUACGGGUGGCUGCAGUGGGGAAUAUUGGACAAUGGGCGAAAGCCUGAUCCAGCCAUGCCGCGUGUGUGAAGAAGGCCUUCGGGUUGUAAAGCACUUUCAGUGGGGAAGAAAGCCUUGGGGCUAAUACCCUCGAGGAAGGACAUCACCCACAGAAGAAGCACCGGCUAACUCCGUGCCAGCAGCCGCGGUAAUACGGAGGGUGCGAGCGUUAAUCGGAAUUACUGGGCGUAAAGCGCGCGUAGGCGGUCUGAUAAGCCGGUUGUGAAAGCCCCGGGCUCAACCUGGGAACGGCAUCCGGAACUGUCAGGGUAGAGUGCAGGAGAGGAAGGUAGAAUUCCCGGUGUAGCGGUGAAAGGCGUAGAGAUCGGGAGGAAUACCAGUGGCGAAGGCGGCCUUCUGGACUGACACUGACGCUGAGGGGCGAAAGCGUGGGUAGCAAACAGGAUUAGAUACCCGGUAGUC
This 464-nucleotide ribosomal RNA is filed under the name Vreelandella stevensii. RNAcentral's name for it is "partial 16S ribosomal RNA". It matches the Rfam family "Bacterial small subunit ribosomal RNA", at positions 338 to 795 of the family's 1533-position model. The record is from RNAcentral. Lineage: Bacteria; Pseudomonadati; Pseudomonadota; Gammaproteobacteria; Oceanospirillales; Halomonadaceae.